RNAcentral lists this unclassified non-coding RNA (335 nucleotides) under soil metagenome. RNAcentral's name for it is "partial contains 5.8S ribosomal RNA, internal transcribed spacer 2, and large subunit ribosomal RNA". The stretch from base 1 to 120 matches the Rfam family "5.8S ribosomal RNA", at positions 35 to 154 of the family's 154-position model. The record is from RNAcentral.
GAUGAAGAACGCAGCGAAAUGCGAUAAGUAGUGUGAAUUGCAGAAUUCAGUGAAUCAUCGAAUCUUUGAACGCACAUUGCGCCCCUUGGUAUUCCAUGGGGCAUGCCUGUUCGAGCGUCAUUUGUACCUUCAAGCUCUGCUUGGUGUUGGGUGUUUGUCUCGCCUUGCGCGUAGACUCGCCUUAAAACAAUUGGCAGCCGGCGUAUUGAUUUCGGAGCGCAGUACAUCUCGCGCUUUGCACUCAUAACGACGACGUCCAAAAGUACUUUUUACACUCUUGACCUCGGAUCAGGUAGGGAUACCCGCUGAACUUAAGCAUAUCAAUAAGCGGAGGA